This 1323-nucleotide long non-coding RNA is filed under the name Elaeis guineensis (African oil palm). RNAcentral describes it as "long non-coding RNA (EGUI_LNC009051)". Lineage: Eukaryota; Viridiplantae; Streptophyta; Magnoliopsida; Arecales; Arecaceae. The record is from RNAcentral.
UAGCUGAAUUUUGUGAUUUCAUAUAGAUGUUGAAUAAACAUGAAUGUAUUCUUAUCGGAUUCUAUUAAGUUUUUCAUGGUGGCCAGGCAGACCUAGCAGGUAGGGUCCCUUGACUGCCUAAAUGGACUGCCUCAUGCUUAGGCAGUCCAUUUCAGAAAAGGGAAAAGAAAGGCCAUGAAGGUCACAAAAUAUCGUUGCUGAUCUUUUUUUUUUAAAAAAAAAUAUCAAACUAUGCAUGUAAAUAACCAAAUAUACCAUUAUAGCAUGAUAGGAGCUAAUAUUGAUCAAAACAGGAAAGCUUUUCAUCGCAUACCAAUCUGCCAAGUCAACAAUAAUAAUGACCAGUCAUAGCAAAGGUGAGUUAUUAUAAGCUAAUGUGUUAAACAAUUUAACAAGCUAGAAAUGCAUGGUAACAACUUAUUACAAGCAGCAACAAUUGCAAAAUCCAGAAGGAUGAGAAGAAUUAAAAGAGAGAAAAACAGAAAGAAAAAUAAACAAAAUUUCAACAUGGGGGGGACAAAAGAAACAACAGAGAACAAAAAUAGAAACAAUGAAUAAAUAAAAGUAAAAAAAAAAAAACAAGAGAGGAUGGAGAUGAAGAUUAGAAGAAAAGGAUCUCUCAAAAGAGAAGGGGAUGAAGAAAGAAGAAGAGAAGAGAAAAAUGAUCAUUUGAGAGAGAAGGUAAAAAGAAGAAUAAGAGGAGAAGAAAAGAGGAAGGAACAGAAAAAGGGAAGCAGAUGGAGUAAAAAGAAAAAGAAGAAAAUGUAUGUGCAGACACAAAACAAACACUCUCGGAUCCUUUAGGCAGUCAGGCAACUGCUGGUGGGUUACUCGAAAUGAUCAUGUGACUUACGUUAUUUCUACUCCAAGUUAUUUAUAUUAAGCUUAUUUCAGUCACAAUAGUAAAGAUACAAUAAGGAAUGAAGUACAAAUAAUAAACAAACAGGAAUACACAUUUGUGUGGAUAAAUAGGAUCUUGUCCUUCACUGCCAAGGCAGCCAGGCCUCUUUAGGUGCUUAUGCAGACUAUCUUGGCGCUGAUUUUGACAUCACUGGACAUUUUGUGAUAUUUUUUAUGCUUGUGCUGGCUUCUUAUUUUUAAUAGAAUAUUAGUAUGUGAGAUUGAAGCCUGAGAGAUUAAGAACAAAUUAUUGAUUCAGCCUGCUAUUGCAAUUAUAAAUAUGUUGGGCCCAACAAAAAGAGCCAGUCAUGCAAUGUAUGCGGUGUGGAAGCCAUGCUUUGUGCUGCAAUCUGUUAUGCAGCUGGUACACAGAAAUUCAAAGCUGAAGGCAUUUUUCAGGUAAGAUGAUCAAUGAAUUUUCAG